This 346-nucleotide unclassified non-coding RNA is filed under the name soil metagenome. RNAcentral's name for it is "partial contains 5.8S ribosomal RNA, internal transcribed spacer 2, and large subunit ribosomal RNA". The stretch from base 1 to 119 matches the Rfam family "5.8S ribosomal RNA", at positions 35 to 154 of the family's 154-position model. The record is from RNAcentral.
GAUGAAGAACGUAGCGAAAUGCGAUACGUAAUGUGAAUUGCAAAUUCAGUGAAUCAUCGAGUCUUUGAACGCACAUUGCGCCCCCUGGUAUUCCGGGGGGCAUGCCUGUCCGAGCGUCAUUGCUGCCCUCAAGCACGGCUUGUGUGUUGGGCCCCGUCCUCCGAUCCCGGGGGACGGGCCCGAAAGGCAGCGGCGGCACCGCGUCCGGUCCUCGAGCGUAUGGGGCUUUGUCACCCGCUCUGUAGGCCCGGCCGGCGCUUGCCGAUCAACCCAAAUUUUUAUCCAGGUUGACCUCGGAUCAGGUAGGGAUACCCGCUGAACUUAAGCAUAUCAAUAAGCGGAGGAA